CAAAGAAUAGUUUAGUUUAGAAUUCUAGCUUUGGGAGCUAGUGGUGGGAGUUAAAGCCUCCCUUCUUUGA
This 70-nucleotide transfer RNA is filed under the name Hypseleotris sp. HAxHB. RNAcentral describes it as "tRNA-Pro". It matches the Rfam family "tRNA". Rfam says of the family: Transfer RNA (tRNA) molecules are approximately 80 nucleotides in length. Their secondary structure includes four short double-helical elements and three loops (D, anti-codon, and T loops). Lineage: Eukaryota; Metazoa; Chordata; Actinopteri; Gobiiformes; Eleotridae. The record is from RNAcentral. RNAcentral also lists the same sequence under 1 other name.